UACGAAGGGGACUAGCGUUGUUCGGAAUCACUGGGCGUAGAGCGCACGUAGGCGGAUUCAUAAGUUAGGGGUGAAAUCCCGGGGCUCAACCUCGGAACUGCCUUUGAUACUGCGGGUCUCGAGUCCGGGAGAGGUGAGUGGAACUCCGAGUGUAGAGGUGAAAUUCGUAGAUAUUCGGAAGAACACCAGUGGCGAAAGCGGCUCACUGGCCCGGUACUGACGCUGAAAUACGAAAGCGUGGGGAGCAAACAGG
Molecule: ribosomal RNA, 253 nt
Filed under: uncultured bacterium
Lineage: Bacteria
Description: partial 16S ribosomal RNA
Rfam family: Bacterial small subunit ribosomal RNA
Source: RNAcentral